Cucumis sativus (cucumber) is the source of this 3709-nucleotide RNA transcript. It is a transcript of the gene named structural maintenance of chromosomes protein 6B, with no coding region annotated. The transcript is spliced from 28 exons. NCBI's taxonomy places the organism in Eukaryota, Viridiplantae, Streptophyta, Magnoliopsida, Cucurbitales, Cucurbitaceae. The record is from RefSeq and is a predicted model, not a curated record.
UUCCUUCUCAUUUUCAAGGAGUCCCCGCGCAACUUGUAAUUGCACUCUUUCUCAGUAGAAAACGGAAGAAGAGAGACAUAAAGAGUUUCUUCUUCCCGCCACAAACCUUUUCUUCCUUCUCAAUCCAAAAAAUUUUAAUUCUUCUUCAACACUAUACAUAUUUCUCCUUACCCAUUUCCUCAACGGUUCGCAGAACCCCUAAACAAGCCUCACCAUGGCUGAUUCCCGAGCUCUUCCUCAUCGCAGUGGAGCAGGUAUAGUCAAAAGUAUCCGUUUAGAGAAUUUCAUGUGUCACAGCAACUUGUAUAUUCAAUUUGGCGAGUGGCUCAAUUUCAUUACUGGGCAGAAUGGAAGUGGUAAGAGUGCUAUUUUGACUGCUUUGUGUGUUGCAUUUGGCUGUCGAGCUAAAGGGACCCAAAGGGCAGCUACGUUGAAGGAUUUUAUUAAAACUGGUUGCAGUCAUGCUGUCAUCCAUGUUGUAUUGCAAAAUAAUGGGGAGGAUGCUUUCAAGCAUGGAAUAUAUGGAGACGUAAUAAUCAUCGAAAGAAGGAUUUCUGAAUCCACUAGUGCCAUUGUUUUAAAGGAUUGUCAAGGAAAAAAGGUUGCCAGCCGAAGGGAUGAACUACGAGAGCUAGUAGAACAUUUUAACAUAGAUGUUGAGAAUCCAUGUGUAAUAAUGAGUCAGGACAAAAGUAGAGAGUUCCUGCAUUCUGGAAACGACAAAGACAAAUUUAAGUUCUUUUUCAAGGCAACUCUUCUUCAGCAAGUGGACGAUCUGCUGAAAAAUAUUUUCGAUAAUUUGAGAUCUGCUAAUGCACUUGUUGAUGACUUGGAGUCUACCAUACGACCUGUAGAGAAGGAACUGAAUGAACUGCGAGGAAAAAUAAAAAACAUGGAGCAAGUAGAAGAAAUCUCUCAACAAGUUCAACAAUUAAAGAAAAAGCUUGCUUGGUCAUGGGUAUACGAUGUAGACAAGCAGCUUCAGGAGCAAAGUGCAAAAAUAGGAAAGCUCCAAGAUCGCAUUCCUAUUUGUCGAGCAAAAAUUGAUCAUCAGCUGGGUCUGGUGGAAAAAUUAAGAGAUCGCUAUAUCGAGAAAAAAACUCAAAUUGCAAGCAUGAUGGAGAGAACUUCAGAAGUGAGAAGAAUGAAGGAUGAACUGCAGGAAACUCUUACCUCGGCAACAAGAGAAAAGCUCGGACUUGAAGAGGAGCAUGGUCGUAAAAUAAACUACAUUCAAAAGCUGGCAAAGCGUGUUAGGCUGCUUGAGCAACAAGUUCAAGAUAUUCAUGAGCAGCACAUAAAAAAUACCCAGGCUGAAGAAUCUGAAAUUGAAGAAAAGUUGAAGGAACUCGAAUCCGAGACUGAAGCUGCUAAGUCAACAGUAAUGAGGUUGAAAGAGGAGGAGAAUGCCUUGAUGGAAAGUCUGUACAGUGGGAGAAAUGAAAUAAAAAAGAUUGCCGAAGAGAUUGCAAGUUACGAGAAAAAAGGCUAUGAAUUUUCUCACUCAAUUCAAGAGCUCAAGCAGCAUCAAACCAACAAGGUCACAGCUUUUGGAGGUGACAAAGUCAUUCAAUUAUUACGUGCGAUUGAGAGACACCAUCAAAGGUUCAAGAAACCUCCCAUUGGUCCAAUUGGUUCCCAUCUGAAUUUGGUCAAUGGUGACAUGUGGGCUCCUGCUGUUGAAAUUGCCAUUGGGAGGUUGCUCAAUGCUUUCAUCGUGACUGAUCACCAAGAUUCUCUUCUUUUGAGAAGAUGUGCAAAUGAAGCUAAUUAUAGGCAACUCCCAAUUGUCAUCUAUGACUUUUCAAGACCAGUGUUAAAUAUUCCAGCUCACAUGCUUCCUCAAACAAAGCAUCCUACGACCCUUUCUGUCAUUCAUUCUGAAAACCAUACUGUCAUCAAUGUUUUGAUAGAUAAGGGUGAUGCUGAGAGGCAAGUGCUUGUUAAAGAUUAUAAUGUGGGUAAAUCAGUUGCAUUUGACCAACGGAUCUCAAAUCUCAAGGAGGUCUUUACAUUAGAUGGAUACAAAAUGUUUUCACGUGGUUCUGUUCAGACAAUUCUUCCCCCAGUUAGAAAGCCCAGAAGUGGCAGACUUUGUAGCUCCUUUGACGACCAAAUUAAAAGUCUUGAAAAAGAUGCAUUGAAUGUAAAACAAGAAGCUGAACAAUGUAGGAAGAGGAAGAGAGUUUCAGAAGAACAACUCCGGGAUCUUGAAGACAACCUAAACAAUGCGAAGAGGAGGUGUCGGAGUGCAGAACGGUUUUUAAUGUCCAAAAAUUUGGAGCUGCAAGAUUUACGAAAGUCACAAGUUGCUGAAACUAGUUCAGUACCUUCAUCAAAUGUGGAUGAGCUACACCAAGAAAUUUCUAAAAUUGAAGAGGAGAUACAAGAGAAUAAGAUGCUUCUUGAAAAGUUUAGAGUUAGGAUGAAAGAAGCGGAAGCAAAGGCAAAAGAUCUUAAAGUAUCAUUUGAAAAUCUGUGUGAGUCGGCAAAAGGAGAAAUUGAUGCAUUUGAAGAAGUUGAGAGAGAUAUGUUGCAGCUUGAAAGAAAAUUGCAUUCUGCAGAAAAGGAGAAGGAUCAUUAUGAAGGUAUUAUGACUAAUAAGGUCCUUUUUGAUAUUAAAGAGGCAGAGAGACAACAUCAGGAGCUUGAGCGUCAUCGUAAGGAGAGUUACAGUAAGGCUUCAAUAAUAUGUCCUGAGAGUGAAAUUGAGGCUUUAGGUGAUUGGGAUGGGAGCACGCCUGAACAACUCAGUGCACAAUUAACGAGGCUAAAUCAGAGACUUAAUAACGAGACCAGAAGAUGUUCUGAAUCUUUGGAAGACCUGAGGAUGAUGUAUGAGAAAAAGGAGCGCACAAUUAUAAGAAAACGACAGACUUACAAAAGUUUUAGAGAGAAGUUGGAUGCUUGCCAGAAAGCUCUUCAGCUACGGUGGAACAAGUUUGAAAGGAAUGCUAGUCUUUUGAAGCGCCAAUUGACUUGGCAAUUUAAUGGCCAUUUAAGAAAAAAAGGGAUCAGCGGAAAUAUAAAAGUUAAUUAUGAGGAAAAGACCCUCUCAGUUGAGGUGAAGAUGCCCCAGGAUGCAUCCAGCAGUUCUGUUCGUGAUACCCGUGGACUUUCAGGCGGAGAACGAUCAUUUUCAACUCUAUGCUUUGCUUUGGCAUUACACGAGAUGACAGAAGCCCCAUUUCGAGCAAUGGAUGAGUUUGAUGUGUUUAUGAAUCAAGUCUUUUCACGAGCUCCCAAUACAUUUACAGGAUGCAGUAAGUCGGAAAAUUAGCUUAGACACUCUUGUGGAUUUUGCAUUGGCACAAGGCUCCCAAUGGAUAUUUAUCACGCCUCAUGACAUCGGGGUGGUAAAACAAGGAGAAAGAAUCAAGAAGCAACAAAUGGCAGCUCCUCGAUCGUGAUGUUCCUGCUGCAUUUAUUUAUGAGAGCUCAAUGCUGUUCAGCGAUCUCUGUAUGAUUCCCAUCCUUCUUUUGUUUCAAUAUAUUCUCAAAUUAUUCACCCUUCUGGAAAAUUUGCCACUGUUUUAUGUAUAUUCUCCAUGUUCAAACCAUGAAUUGUAGAAUUAACAGUUAUAUCUAUGAGAAAGUAGAGAAGGAAAAUCAAAAGCUGAAAGCUAAAGAAAUGUUCUUUUGUAUAUGCUUAGUGUACGAGAGUACUCUACUCAGCAUGGUUUGAAAUAGAAGUGGCUGUUCUGGGAAA